GGAUUAGAUACCCUGGUAGUCCACGCUGUAAACGAUGUCAACUAGGUCGUGCGGGUUCUGACGCCGGCACGGCCGAAGCAAAAGUGUUAAGUUGACCGCCUGGGGAGUACGGUCGCAAGGCUAAAACUCAAAGGAAUUGACGGGGGCUCACACAAGCGGUGGAGCAUGUGGAUUAAUUCGAAGCAACGCGCAGAACCUUACCUGGGUUUGACAUGCUUGGAUGCCCUCCUGGAAACAGGAGUAAGCUGCCUUCGGGUGAAACUUGCACAGGUGCUGCAUGGCUGUCGUCAGCUCGUGCCG
RNAcentral lists this ribosomal RNA (300 nucleotides) under uncultured bacterium. RNAcentral describes it as "bacterial SSU rRNA". It matches the Rfam family "Bacterial small subunit ribosomal RNA", at positions 775 to 1067 of the family's 1533-position model. The record is from RNAcentral.